CGUCUCAGUUCGGAUCGGAGUCUGCAACCCGACUCCGUGAAGCUGGAUUCGCUAGUAAUCGCGCAUCAGCCAUGGCGCGGUGAAUACGUUCCCGGGCCUUGUACACACCGCCCGUCAAGCCAUGGGAGCCGGGGGUGCUUGAAGUGCGUCGCCGCAAGGCGCGCCCUAGAGCAAAACCGGUGACUGGGGCUAAGUCGUAACAAGGUACC
RNAcentral lists this ribosomal RNA (209 nucleotides) under uncultured bacterium. RNAcentral describes it as "partial 16S ribosomal RNA". It matches the Rfam family "Bacterial small subunit ribosomal RNA", at positions 1284 to 1500 of the family's 1533-position model. The record is from RNAcentral.